UACGAAGGGGGCUAGCGUUGCUCGGAAUCACUGGGCGUAAAGGGCGCGUAGGCGGGCUUUCAAGUCGUCUGUGAAAUCCCUGGGCUUAACCCAGGAACUGCAGACGAUACUGUUAGUCUUGAAUGCUUGAGAGGGUGGCGGAAUUCCAGGUGUAGAAGUGAAAUUCGUAGAUAUCUGGAGGAACAUCGGCGGCGAAGGCGGCCACCUGGCAAGACAUUGACGCUAAAGCGCGAAAGUGCGGGGAUCAAACAGG
RNAcentral lists this ribosomal RNA (253 nucleotides) under uncultured bacterium. RNAcentral's name for it is "partial 16S ribosomal RNA". It matches the Rfam family "Bacterial small subunit ribosomal RNA", at positions 524 to 776 of the family's 1533-position model. The record is from RNAcentral.